GACGAACGCUGGCGGCGCGCUUAACACAUGCAAGUCGAACGGAAAGGCCCUGCUUUUGUGGGGUGCUCGAGUGGCGAACGGGUGAGUAACACGUGAGUAACCUGCUCUCGACUUUGGGAUAACUUCAGGAAACUGGGGCUAAUACUGGAUAGGAGCUCCUGCUGCAUGGUGGGGGUUGGAAAGUUUCGGCGGCUGGGGAUGGACUCGCGGCUUAUCGGUUUGUUGGUGGGGUAGCGGCUUACCAAGGCUUUGACGGGUAGCCGGCCUGUGAGGGUGACCGGCCACAUUGGGACUGAGAUACAGCCCAUACUCCUACGGGAGGCAGCAGUGAGGAAGAUUGCACAAUGGGCGGAAGCCUGAUGCAGCAACGCCGCGUGCGUGAUGACGGCCGUCGUGUUGUAAACCGCUUUCUCCUGGGACGAAGCGUGAGUGACGGUAAUGGGUAAAGAAGCACCGGCUAACUACGUG
Molecule: ribosomal RNA, 468 nt
Filed under: uncultured bacterium
Lineage: Bacteria
Description: partial 16S ribosomal RNA
Rfam family: Bacterial small subunit ribosomal RNA
Source: RNAcentral